GUGAAUCAUCAAAUUUUUGAACGCAAAUUGCACUCUCCUCGGAGAGUAUGCCUGUUUGAGGGUCAGCCUAAAAAAAAUCGACAUCGUUGCUGUUUCACGGUGACGUUCGUCGGAAAUUGGGUUAUCUUAAACCUUUUGGUUUAAAGGACUUAAAAAUUUUCUUUUUGUUUCCAUGACGUUUCUCAUAAGUAUUUCUUCACACCAUGAUUAAGG
This 213-nucleotide unclassified non-coding RNA is filed under the name Glomeraceae sp. RNAcentral describes it as "partial contains 5.8S ribosomal RNA and internal transcribed spacer 2". The stretch from base 1 to 65 matches the Rfam family "5.8S ribosomal RNA", at positions 84 to 154 of the family's 154-position model. The record is from RNAcentral. Lineage: Eukaryota; Fungi; Glomeromycota; Glomeromycetes; Glomerales; Glomeraceae.